CGAGAAAGCCCGCAAGGGUGAGUAAAGCGGCGCACGGGUGCGUAACACGUGGGUAAUCUGCCCUGGAGUCCGGAAUAACUCGCCGAAAGGCGUGCUAAUGCCGGAUAAGACCACGGGAGCUUCGGCUCCUGCGGGAAAAGGUGGCCUCUGUAUACAAGCUAUCGUUCCAGGAUGAGCCCGCGGCCCAUCAGCUCGUUGGCGGGGUAAUGGCCCACCAAGGCUACGACGGGUAGCUGGUCUGAGAGGACGAUCAGCCACACUGGAACUGAGACACGGUCCAGACUCCUACGGGAGGCAGCAGUGGGGAAUCUUGCGCAAUGGGCGAAAGCCUGACGCAGCAACGCCGCGUGUGUGAUGAAGGUCUUCGGAUCGUAAAGCACUGUCGCGAGGGACG
RNAcentral lists this ribosomal RNA (394 nucleotides) under uncultured Anaeromyxobacter sp. Its description in RNAcentral is "bacterial SSU rRNA". It matches the Rfam family "Bacterial small subunit ribosomal RNA", at positions 67 to 447 of the family's 1533-position model. The record is from RNAcentral. Lineage: Bacteria; Pseudomonadati; Myxococcota; Myxococcia; Myxococcales; Anaeromyxobacteraceae.